UUUUUUAUAGAACCCGAAGGCGUCGGCAAGAAAGCCGUUACGCAAAGCGAAUGGUUCGACCUCCCAACGACGACGCACGUACUCCGCCGGCACUGAAGAAUAGCAGUCGGCCCUCGUUCCAUAAGCAAGUUACAACGUGCAAGUUUUUAUACACACGCGCAGGGCGCCUCUCAACUAUCGCCCCGACGGACAAAUGUGAUUGGCCGCAAAGGAGCUUGCAACCGAAGGAGGGUUUCGAUCCCUAACCAAGGUGGACGGGGAACAUCAAUCCCGCCAUGCCCUUCCGCUCGACGCGCGAAUCUAGUGCGGCGAACGGACGCAUCCUCCGGGAUGGCGCAGAGAUUGGAUGUAGGACGCCAGGUAGUCGAGCUGUAUAAGGUAGUACUGCUGUGCCAUGUCUACACGCCGUUCUCUUUGUGUUAAAGGUGACAAGUGGUCUGUCGGAAAGCUGCUGACGCGCUGAUGUGGCGGCAGCGGCAGACGUUGUGGCGGAGUCUGGGAGAAUAUAGGGGGGAAAUGUGAUUUGUCAGCAGUGUACGUCGUAACCCAUGCUCUACCAUGUUGUGGGCCGGUGUCCUUCAUGGCGCAAGAUGCAAGUAGUGUUACUUGUGGCGAAAGUUCGAGCAGCGCCACCGAAAUGGCGCCAGAGACCACGUGGAUGCGAGGACGGACUUGCGCUCUAUCGGGAAAGUGUGACCUCUCCGGCGGCGGUCAUUCAUGUGGUUACCUUCGCAACUUGCGGAUACUUUAGCUCCUUGCAGCAGGUUAAGAAUCUCAUCGUGCAAUGCUGCGUCGGUUUUCUUAGGGGUUUGCCGCUGCGCGAUGGCUAGGCCUUUGUGGGAGGGUGGCGCUCAAAGAACCAAGGGUCACAAACUCGCCGAAGCUGGCGAGCUUUUCACACAUAGCCGAACGUAUGGAGUUGGGGCGGUUGGUUUAAGGAGACCUGCUGAGUUCAAUACCUAGGGUUUCUAGGUUUGGAGCGGCCUAGCAGGAUGCAGCAGACGUCAAGGUGAACCAUUUCAAAAGUAAGCUUCAACUAUGAUGACUAAAAACCCAUGCCGCUUACACGAUACUAUAUAGGGCUUUUUCAUAGUGUCCUGUUCAGUGCAUGGCGUAGUUUCGCGCUGGUCCACGACAUCGUCUUUUACGUACAGUCAGUACUUCGUAUUCAUAGGACCUAGCCCAAUACAGCGUCUAAAGCAUCUUUCAAAUAUAUAGUUAAUCGACGUAUUAUUACAGUUUGUUUAAG
This 1249-nucleotide long non-coding RNA is filed under the name Volvox carteri. Its description in RNAcentral is "long non-coding RNA (VCAR_LNC000421)". Lineage: Eukaryota; Viridiplantae; Chlorophyta; Chlorophyceae; Chlamydomonadales; Volvocaceae. The record is from RNAcentral.